This 292-nucleotide ribosomal RNA is filed under the name uncultured microorganism. Its description in RNAcentral is "partial 16S ribosomal RNA". It matches the Rfam family "Bacterial small subunit ribosomal RNA", at positions 505 to 796 of the family's 1533-position model. The record is from RNAcentral.
GUGCCAGCAGCCGCGGUAAGACAGAGGGUGCAAACGUUGUUCGGAAUUACUGGGCGUAAAGCGUGUGUAGGCGGUCUUGUAAGUCGGAUGUGAAAGCCCCGGGCUCAACCCGGGAAGUGCACUCGAUACUGCGAGACUUGAGUAUCGGAGAGGUUGGUGGAAUUCUCGGUGUAGAGGUGAAAUUCGUAGAUAUCGAGAGGAACACCGGUGGCGAAAGCGGCCAACUGGACGAAUACUGACGCUGAGACACGAAAGCGUGGGGAGCAAACAGGAUUAGAUACCCUGGUAGUCC